Molecule: ribosomal RNA, 492 nt
Filed under: uncultured bacterium
Lineage: Bacteria
Description: bacterial SSU rRNA
Rfam family: Bacterial small subunit ribosomal RNA
Source: RNAcentral
GAUGAACGCUAGCGAUAGGCCUAACACAUGCAAGUCGAGGGGCAGCACAUGACGUAGCAAUACAGAUGGUGGCGACCGGCGCACGGGUGAGUAACACGUAUGCAACCUACCUUCCACUGGAGAAUAACCCGUUGAAAGACGGGCUAAUACUCCAUAAUACAGGGGUCCCGCAUGGGAAUAUUUGUUAAAGAAUUUUCGGUAGAAGAUGGGCAUGCGUUCCAUUAGCUAGUUGGUUGAGGUAACGGCUCACCAAGGCAACGAUGGAUAGGGGAACUGAGAGGAAGACCCCCCACACUGGGACUGAGACACGGCCCAGACUCCUACGGGAGGCAGCAGUGAGGAAUAUUGGACAAUGGAUGGAAAUCUGAUCCAGCCAUGCCGCGUGCAGGAAGACGGCCCUAUGGGUUGUAAAACUGCUUUUAUAUGGGAGCAAUAAGGUUUACGCGUAGACCGAUGAGAGUACCAUAUGAAUAAGCAUCGGCUAACUCCGUG